RNAcentral lists this ribosomal RNA (245 nucleotides) under uncultured Microbacterium sp. Its description in RNAcentral is "partial 16S ribosomal RNA". It matches the Rfam family "Bacterial small subunit ribosomal RNA", at positions 796 to 1041 of the family's 1533-position model. Lineage: Bacteria; Bacillati; Actinomycetota; Actinomycetes; Micrococcales; Microbacteriaceae. The record is from RNAcentral.
CACCCCGUAAACGUUGGGAACUAGUUGUGGGGACCAUUCCACGGUUUCCGUGACGCAGCUAACGCAUUAAGUUCCCCGCCUGGGGAGUACGGCCGCAAGGCUAAAACUCAAAGGAAUUGACGGGGACCCGCACAAGCGGCGGAGCAUGCGGAUUAAUUCGAUGCAACGCGAAGAACCUUACCAAGACUUGACAUAUAGAGGAAACGUCUGGAAACAGUCGCCCCGCAAGGUCUCUAUACAGGUGG